AUCCUUUUCUGAUUCAUAAGCAUGAUGAUUGGGUCCUCACAUGUUUGUAUGAUAUAUACCUCCCUCAAACCUUGUUAUGACCUGGGUAUAUUACCCAUCUGACA
Dipodomys ordii (Ord's kangaroo rat) is the source of this 104-nucleotide non-coding RNA. NCBI's taxonomy places the organism in Eukaryota, Metazoa, Chordata, Mammalia, Rodentia, Heteromyidae. The record is from Rfam.